UCGAGAGAAAGGGCAGGGGAAGAACAAAAACCCUAAUCAGCCUAAAUUCUUCAAAUUGAGGGAGGAAUUUGGCUCAAAACUAAUGCAUGAACCAAGAUUCUUGACCACCCAAGUGUUCUUCACACCAAGAAUCAUGUCAAGACGGACUCAAGCAUGAAAGGCUAACGGGUCAAGAGGAGACAAGGAAUCGGAUACGAACCCGGAUGCACGAGGUUGUAUGAGUCACGGAGGAUUACUGAAAAGUGAAGAUCGAAGACCGAG
Long non-coding RNA from Helianthus annuus (common sunflower), 261 nucleotides. RefSeq lists it as uncharacterized. The record is from RefSeq and is a predicted model, not a curated record. The transcript is spliced from 3 exons. Lineage: Eukaryota; Viridiplantae; Streptophyta; Magnoliopsida; Asterales; Asteraceae.